RNAcentral lists this microRNA (22 nucleotides) under Eisenia fetida (common brandling worm). RNAcentral's name for it is "Efe-Mir-10-P2k_3p* (star (passenger))". The record is from RNAcentral. Lineage: Eukaryota; Metazoa; Annelida; Clitellata; Crassiclitellata; Lumbricidae.
CAAGUCGAGUGCUGCGGGUCUU